RNAcentral lists this ribosomal RNA (426 nucleotides) under uncultured bacterium. RNAcentral describes it as "partial 16S ribosomal RNA". It matches the Rfam family "Bacterial small subunit ribosomal RNA", at positions 354 to 796 of the family's 1533-position model. The record is from RNAcentral.
GUGAGGAAUUUUCCGCAAUGGGCGAAAGCCUGACGGAGCAAUGCCGCGUGAAGGAUGAAGGCCUAUGGGUUGUAAACUUCUUUUCUCAGAAAAGAAUUAUGACGGUAUCUGAGGAAUAAGCAUCGGCUAACUCUGUGCCAGCAGCCGCGGUAAGACAGAGGAUGCAAGCGUUAUCCGGAAUGAUUGGGCGUAAAGCGUCUGUAGGUUGUUUAAAAAGUAUUAUGUAAAAGAUUAGGGCUUAACCCUAGAUAGGCAGAAUAAACUUUUAAGCUAGAGUUUGGUAGAGGCAGAGGGAAUUCCCGGUGGAGCGGUGAAAUGCGUAGAUAUCGGGAGGAACACCAAAGGCGAAGGCACUCUGCUGGGCCAAUACUAACACUGAGAGACGAAAGCGAGGGGAGCAAAUGGGAUUAGAUACCCCUGUAGUCC